GAGGUGGGCGGCAGAGGAUGCCCACCUCCUGUUGCCCCUACCUGGUAGCCUGAGCUGUAGUGGACGGGCAGCAAGGUGACAAGGAUAGGACUCCUGUGUCCCUGCCUUUCCCUCCUAAAUAGUUGUCCAUGGAGGAAUUUUGAAAAAGCAGACUUGCAUCAUUUUCUCACCUCUGGCUUCCCUGGCCGUGCCCUUCCUGUCUCUUACAGUUCCCCCUCUGUCCUCCCCACAGCCCUGUGUGAGGAUCAAGUGAAGCAAGAAUGGCAGGCCGUGGAGAAGGGGCUGAAUCAAAUGUGGAAGAUAGAAAGAGAAGCUCUGGGAUAUGGCUUUGCCUUCUAGCCUGGCAGAUGAAAGUGUUCAAGGUGAAGCCCUGAAUAGAAAACAAGACUGGCCUUGCAAGAGGAAAUCCUGCUGGCAGAUGGCCUUUGAACUUGAAAUGAAGCAUUGGCUCUUCCCUGGUCUCCAGCCUGCUAACCCACCCUGCAGAUUUUGGACUUGCAAACCUCCAUAAUCACGGACACUUUCAUGCCUGUAACGAUCGGCUUGGAUCUGCCAGGAAAACUCCCCUAACUGCUGCGCUGGGCAGCAAGUGAAAAAAAGCUGGCAAUGAGACCAGAAUUACAAACAAUGUAGCAUGCCCUUGCCAAGAUAUAAAUACAGAGGAAACAUUCAAAAGGACAGUAUCAAAUUAUCUGCAAAGAUGAAGAAAGUAAUGACUUACAUUCUCCAUCCUCUGGCUGGGUGACUCACUAAAGUGGAAAAUGAGGCAGCUGGAGAUUAUAGUUACCCCCAAAAGAGAUAAACGAUGGACUGUGGAGGAGCCAUUCCAAGUAGACAAGUUAACAUGCCACCAGCACAUUUGGGACAGGAGGUGGCAGCUCAGUGUUUUGUGUCUCCUUGUGUUUUCCAGAAUCUUCAAUAAAGAAAGUUCAACCCUGGCUCACCAUACCUCUUCUGGUUCGUGAAUAUUUUAAGAAGCACCCAGCGUGUGCAGGGUGUCGUGUAGGAGAUGCAGAUGGCAAUUGUCGUGCCUGCAUGCUUGGUAGAACACUGGGUAGAACACUGGCCCACCUUACUUGAAGUUUUUUUUUGCACACUAUUUUUUUUUUGUAAUGGUCUUACUGAGAUAUAAUUCACACAUCAUACAAUCCACCCAUUUGUAUUUUGUUUUCUAUGUUUGUUUACUUGUUGAAAAUCUGUCUCAUUUCAUAGACUACAGGCUCUGUGAAAACAACCACCAUGCAUGCUUUGCUCAUUAAUGUGUACCCGACAUUUAUCAUAGUACACAAUCCAGCCUCUCAAUAACUACAUAUUCUUAGUAAAUU
This is a non-coding RNA of Microcebus murinus (gray mouse lemur), 1325 nucleotides long. Lineage: Eukaryota; Metazoa; Chordata; Mammalia; Primates; Cheirogaleidae. The record is from RefSeq and is a predicted model, not a curated record.